AGUCGAACGCGUCUCCGUUAAUGAUUUUAGGUGCUUGCACUUGAAAGAUUUAACAUUGAGACGAGUGGCGAACUGGUGAGUAACACGUGGGUAACCUGCCCUUGAAGUAGGGGAUAACACUUGGAAACAGGUGCUAAUACCGUAUAACAACCAAAACCACCUGGUUUUGGUUUAAAAGACGGCUUCGGCUGUCACUUUAGGAUGGACCCGCGGCGUAUUAGCUUGUUGGUAAGGUAACGGCUUACCAAGGCGAUGAUACGUAGCCGACCUGAGAGGGUAAUCGGCCACAUUGGGACUGAGACACGGCCCAAACUCCUACGGGAGGCAGCAGUAGGGAAUCUUCCACAAUGGACGAAAGUCUGAUGGAGCAACGCCGCGUGAGUGAUGAAGGGUUUCGGCUCGUAAAACUCUGUUGUUGGAGAAGAACAGGUGUCAGAGUAACUGUUGACAUCUUGACGGUAUCCAACCAGAAAGCCACGGCUAACUACGUGCCAGCAGCCGCGGUAAUACGUAGGUGGCAAGCGUUGUCCGGAUUUAUUGGGCGUAAAGCGAGCGCAGGCGGUUUUUUAGGUCUGAUGUGAAAGCCUUCGGCUUAACCGGAGAAGUGCAUCGGAAACCGGGAGACUUGAGUGCAGAAGAGGACAGUGGAACUCCAUGUGUAGCGGUGAAAUGCGUAGAUAUAUGGAAGAACACCAGUGGCGAAGGCGGCUGUCUGGUCUGUAACUGACGCUGAGGCUCGAAAGCAUGGGUAGCGAACAGGAUUAGAUAC
This 769-nucleotide ribosomal RNA is filed under the name Lentilactobacillus buchneri. Its description in RNAcentral is "bacterial SSU rRNA". It matches the Rfam family "Bacterial small subunit ribosomal RNA", at positions 60 to 785 of the family's 1533-position model. Lineage: Bacteria; Bacillati; Bacillota; Bacilli; Lactobacillales; Lactobacillaceae. The record is from RNAcentral.